This 229-nucleotide unclassified non-coding RNA is filed under the name plant metagenome. Its description in RNAcentral is "partial contains small subunit ribosomal RNA, internal transcribed spacer 1, and 5.8S ribosomal RNA". The record is from RNAcentral.
UCUCCGUAGGUGAACCUGCGGAGGGAUCAUUACAGAGUUCAUGCCCUACCGGGUAGAUCUCCCACCCUAUGUUAUUAUUACUUUGUUGCUUUGGCGGGCCGUUAGGCUCCGGCCCGACUACCGGCCCCGGCUGGUAAGCGCCCGCCAGAGGACCCAAAACCCUGAAUAUUAGUGUCGUCUGAGUACUAUAUAAUAGUUAAAACUUUCAACAACGGAUCUCUUGGCUCUA